RNAcentral lists this unclassified non-coding RNA (394 nucleotides) under Hevea brasiliensis (rubber tree). Lineage: Eukaryota; Viridiplantae; Streptophyta; Magnoliopsida; Malpighiales; Euphorbiaceae. The record is from RNAcentral.
CUUCCAUUUAUUAGUCCAAUUUAGAAUGGAACUCAGUCCAAACAUUACAACAUCAAAUUAUAAAUAAUUUCCACACCAAUUCCCAACGAAUAUAAUUGUGGAAAAUCCGCAUCUAUCACGAAAACAACAGAAAGAAAGAAGUACAACAACAGAAACUUUAAUCUAGAAUCUAUAUACAUGAUAGAAAAACUGUGCUAGAUUUGUCCCCGACUCCAGAGCUGCCAUUCUGAUCCAUGCUAUUGCUAUAUAUAUAGACUUCCUGCACAAUUCAUCUCAGACUGCAUCUCCAUUUGGCAGUAAGUCCAUCAUCUAAUUAUUCUUCAUGUACCUGAAAACUUUAAUUCCAUUUGUAAGUCUCUGUUAAGUGAACUAUCUUAAUUUUUGAACCUUUUCG